RNAcentral lists this ribosomal RNA (433 nucleotides) under uncultured bacterium. Its description in RNAcentral is "partial 16S ribosomal RNA". It matches the Rfam family "Bacterial small subunit ribosomal RNA", at positions 29 to 507 of the family's 1533-position model. The record is from RNAcentral.
AACGAACGCUGGCGGCAUGCCUAACACAUGCAGGUCGAACGAGACCUUCGGGUCUAGUGGCGCACGGGUGCGUAACGCGUGGGAACCUGCCUUUAGGUCCGGAAUAACUCAGAGAAAUUUGAGCUAAUACCGGAUGAUGUCUUCGGACCAAAGAUUUAUCGCCUUUAGAUGGGCCCGCGUUGGAUUAGCUAGUUGGUGGGGUAAAGGCCUACCAAGGCGACGAUCCAUAGCUGGUCUGAGAGGAUGAUCAGCCACACUGGGACUGAGACACGGCCCAGACUCCUACGGGAGGCAGCAGUGGGGAAUAUUGGACAAUGGGCGAAAGCCUGAUCCAGCAAUGCCGCGUGAGUGAUGAAGGCCUUAGGGUUGUAAAGCUCUUUUACCCGAGAUGAUAAUGACAGUAUCGGGAGAAUAAGCUCCGGCUAACUCCGUG